CAACGCGAAGAACCUUACCAGGUCUUGACAUCCCCUGACAACCCAAGAGAUUGGGCGUUCCCCUUCGGGGGACAGGGUGACAGGUGGUGCAUGGUUGUCGUCAGCUCGUGUCGUGAGAUGUUGGGUUAAGUCCCGCAACGAGCGCAACCCUCGCCUCUAGUUGCCAGCAUUCGGUUGGGCACUCUAGAGGGACUGCCGGCGACAAGUCGGAGGAAGUGGGGAUGACGUCAAAUCAUCAUGCCCCUUAUGACCUGGGCUACACACGUGCUACAAUGGGCGGUACAAAGGGCUGCGAACCCGCGAGGGGGAGCGAAUCCCAAAAAGCCGCUCUCAGUUCGGAUUGCAGGCUGCAACUCGCCUGCAUGAAGCCGGAAUCGCUAGUAAUCGCGGAUCAGCAUGCCGCGGUGAAUACGUUCCCGGGCCUU
This 425-nucleotide ribosomal RNA is filed under the name uncultured Geobacillus sp. RNAcentral describes it as "bacterial SSU rRNA". It matches the Rfam family "Bacterial small subunit ribosomal RNA", at positions 957 to 1382 of the family's 1533-position model. Lineage: Bacteria; Bacillati; Bacillota; Bacilli; Caryophanales; Anoxybacillaceae. The record is from RNAcentral.